CGGGGCGUAGCGCAGUCCGGUAGCGCACUUGACUGGGGGUCAAGAGGUCGGAGGUUCGAAUCCUCUCGCCCCGACCA
This 77-nucleotide transfer RNA is filed under the name Dehalococcoidia bacterium. RNAcentral's name for it is "tRNA-Pro". It matches the Rfam family "tRNA". From Rfam's summary of the family: Transfer RNA (tRNA) molecules are approximately 80 nucleotides in length. Their secondary structure includes four short double-helical elements and three loops (D, anti-codon, and T loops). The record is from RNAcentral. Lineage: Bacteria; Bacillati; Chloroflexota; Dehalococcoidia.